AGCUCAAAUUUUAAAUCUGCUAGGUUUUACUUAUCAGAAUUGUAAUUUGAAGAAGCGCAUAUCACGUUUUCGUUCGGGUUCAAGUUCCUUGGAAUAGGACAUCAGAGAGGGUGAGAAUCCCGU
RNAcentral lists this ribosomal RNA (123 nucleotides) under Archaeosporales sp. RNAcentral describes it as "partial large subunit ribosomal RNA". The record is from RNAcentral. Lineage: Eukaryota; Fungi; Glomeromycota; Glomeromycetes; Archaeosporales.